This 460-nucleotide ribosomal RNA is filed under the name uncultured bacterium. RNAcentral describes it as "partial 16S ribosomal RNA". It matches the Rfam family "Bacterial small subunit ribosomal RNA", at positions 338 to 795 of the family's 1533-position model. The record is from RNAcentral.
CCUACGGGAGGCUGCAGUGAGGAAUAUUGGUCAAUGGACGAGAGUCUGAACCAGCAAAGUAGCGUGAAGGAUGACUGCCCUAUGGGUUGUAAACUUCUUUUAUAUGGGAAUAAAAUGUUCCACGUGUGGGAUUUUGUAUGUACCAUAUGAAUAAGGAUCGGCUAACUCCGUUCCAGCAGCCGCGGUAAUACGGAGGAUCCGAGCGUUAUCCGGAUUUAUUGGGUUUAAAGGGAGCGUAGGUGGAUUGUUAAGUCAGUUGUGAAAGUUUGCGGCUCAACCGUAAAAUUGCAGUUGAAACUGGCAGUCUUGAGUACAGUAGAGGUGAGCGGAAUUCGUGGUGUAGCGGUGAAAUGCUUAGAUAUCACGAAGAACUCCGAUUGCGAAGGCAGUUCACUGGACUGCAACUGACACUGAGGCUCGAAAGUGUGGGUAUCAAACAGGAUUAGAUACCCGGGUAGUC